UAUAUUUUUUUUAUAUAUUUUUGGUUUUAUAAAAUUAAAAAAAAUAAUUUUUUUUUUAGUAUUUUUGAGAAAAAAAUUUAUUUGAAUAGUACUGUGAAGGAAUAAAUUAAUUUUAUUAAAAUCAGUUAUUUUUAAUGUACCUUUUGUAUCAGGGUUUAUUAAAUUUUACAAUUUAUUUUGUUUUCUCGAAAUUUUAAGAUUUAUAUUAGUAUGUUGGUUUAUGUGACAAUAUGUUCAAUAAUGUUAAUAUAGUGAAUAUAUUUUAUUCAAUUAAAAAUAUCUAGUUUUCUGAUAAAUGGAUUUAAUCCAUUAAUAAAUGGAUGUUUACUUUUAUUUACAUUUAUUUUUAUUUAAAGGGGGAUAAGCUUUUUUAAAUGACUAAAAAUUUUAAUUUUUAUACUUAUUGUAGGAUUAAUAAUAUUCAUCUCUUAUUUUGUAAAAAUUAUUUUUAUAAUCUUUUUAAUUUUUUAUUUUUUAGUUGAACAUCAGAAUAAUUAAUUUAAUUUUUAAAUUUUUAAAAAAAUGAUAAAAUUAGUAUAUUUUUUAAAUAAAUUAUAGUAAUUCGGCAAAUAUAAUUUUCACCUGUUUAACAAAAACAUGGUUUUUUGUUUUUAUAAAAAAUUUGGCCUGCCCAAUGAUUAUUUUAAUGGCUGCAGUAUUUUGACUGUACAAAGGUAGCAUAAUCACUUGUCUUUUAAUUGAAGUCUGGUAUGAAUGGUUAGAUGAGAAAUUUACUUUCUUUAUUUUAUAAAUAAAAAUUGAUUUCUAAAUCAAAAAGUUUAGAUGUUUUUAUAGGACGAGAAGACCCUAUAGAACUUGACUCCCCUUAAUUUUAUUAUUUACUUGUAAAUAAUUUUUUAUUAUUUUUAAGGGGAGUUUUAUUGGGGUGAUAAAAAAAAUUUUUUAACUUUUUUUAUUUUUUUCACUUAUAUGUGAUUUUUUGAUCCUUUAUUAAGGAUAAUAAGAUUAAGUUACCUUAGGGAUAACAGCGUUAUUAUUUUAGAGAGUUCAUAUUGAUAAAAUAGUUUGCGACCUCGAUGUUGGAUUAAAAUUAGUGUCAGGGGUAUAAUAUUGAUUACUAGGUCUGUUCGACCUUUAAAUUUUUACAUGAUCUGAGUUCAGACCGGCGUGAGCCAGGUCGGUUUCUAUCCUUAAAUUUUUUAAAAAGGUUUAGUACGAAAGGACCAAUUUUUUAAAAUAUUUUUUAUUAUUUUGAUUGAUACU
RNAcentral lists this ribosomal RNA (1224 nucleotides) under Rubellomiris bispinosus. RNAcentral's name for it is "16S ribosomal RNA". The stretch from base 795 to 1151 matches the Rfam family "Archaeal large subunit ribosomal RNA", at positions 2155 to 2712 of the family's 2987-position model. The record is from RNAcentral. Lineage: Eukaryota; Metazoa; Arthropoda; Insecta; Hemiptera; Miridae.